This is a non-coding RNA of Myotis daubentonii (Daubenton's bat), 79 nucleotides long. The record is from the annotation of a RefSeq genome assembly. NCBI's taxonomy places the organism in Eukaryota, Metazoa, Chordata, Mammalia, Chiroptera, Vespertilionidae.
GCCCUGACUGGUUUGGCUCAGUGGAUAGAGCAUUGGGCCGUGGACUGAAAGGUUCCGGGUUCGAUUCCCGGUCAGGGCA